CCUAACACUCCUACCACAAAUCAGUCAGAUACACCUGGUCAUGACAAUACACAAGUUGGCAUGAGGGACAUGCAUAAUAGACUUGUCAUUGAGCCUGAAGGCUACACUUUCAAUCCAGAUGAUGCUGUGGGGAUCAUUUCUCAGACAAUCAAAGAACUCUAUAGAGAUGCUUAUCCUACAUGGGGCAAGUUCCCUAGCAAUCUCAAGAGACAAAUAUUUUUGGAGUUCAGG
Solanum pennellii is the source of this 231-nucleotide long non-coding RNA. RefSeq lists it as uncharacterized. The record is from RefSeq and is a predicted model, not a curated record. The transcript is spliced from 2 exons. NCBI's taxonomy places the organism in Eukaryota, Viridiplantae, Streptophyta, Magnoliopsida, Solanales, Solanaceae.